UACAGAGGUCUCGAGCGUUAGGCGGAAUCACUGGGCUUAAAGCGUGUGUAGGUGGAUCGGUAAGUACCUUGUGAAAUCCCACAGCUUAACUGUGGAACUGCUUGGUAUACUGCCAGUUUUGAGCCAGCUAGGGGCUACCGGAACAAAUGGUGGAGCGGUGAAAUGCGUAGAUAUCAUUUGGAACGCCAAUGGUGAAAACAGGUAGCUGGGGCUGUGCUGACACUGAGACACGAAAGCCAGGGGAGCAAACGGG
Molecule: ribosomal RNA, 253 nt
Filed under: uncultured bacterium
Lineage: Bacteria
Description: partial 16S ribosomal RNA
Rfam family: Bacterial small subunit ribosomal RNA
Source: RNAcentral